Long non-coding RNA from Sceloporus undulatus (fence lizard), 5314 nucleotides. RefSeq lists it as uncharacterized. The transcript has 3 exons. The record is from RefSeq and is a predicted model, not a curated record. NCBI's taxonomy places the organism in Eukaryota, Metazoa, Chordata, Lepidosauria, Squamata, Phrynosomatidae.
CACACGUAACUUCUCCGAGCCAGCAUGCCCAUCACUCUCGCUUGCAGUGGUCAUAAAGUCACCUGGCCAAUAAGGUUUGCCAGGACCAGAGAGGUUUUCCACUGGGGACACAGAGAAAAGAAGCAUAGGUUUGAAUAGCUUCUCUGGUGCCUACCUGGAUGUCAUUGAAAUGUCAGCCUCUUCCUGCCGAUCGAGGUGGGAUUACAACAGUCAAAGAUCCGUUCUUUGCUGUGAGAAACCAACCUGUCCUCUCCCUGCUGUUGCCUGGGCUGAAGAGAAUUCUACCUGCCUGAGGUGUAGUGAUGUGCUGUUUUGCUCCACAUCACAAAACUUCCAAAACAUAAAACCAAAACCCAAAGUACUGGGAUAUCCACUUCUGGUUCUCAGAAAUGACUCUAUUUUAAUGUUAAGCAGUAUACAGAGGCCUCUUUCUUUUCUUUUUCUUUUUUGGUUUUACCAUAAUAAGAGAUUUUGAGCAUGUUGAGCAUCACAAAUGUCCUUGGGGGAGCCACAUGUGGCCCAGGGUGCACUUAGCUCACUCCAGCUCUAGUGUUUGGGGGCAGUUUUACCAAGUUUUUGGCUUUGUGCUGUUUUAGGCCCAGAGAAGCUUGUUUUAAACCAAGAAGAAGCAUUUAAAAACAACAACAGAAGAAUACUAAAUGUCACUUCUGGUUUUGGGGGUGGGAAAAGCCACCCCAGUCUAAAACAGUCCGGGGGAGGGGGGGACAAAACAUGACAAAAUUUCUCCUAGAAGGCAUAAAGGAAAUUUUGGGUAAGAUAAAAAUAAAAUAAAAAGCUGGGGAGCUCAAAGUCACCUAAGCAGGAGGUUGCUUCUGCCUUAAGCCUAUGAAAUUAGAUCUGAAAAGGUGUAGGUAAUGCCUUAUGAAAUCAGCGGCAUGGGUUGUAUAGGAUUUCUACUAUUCAAAUAUGAGGUUUCAGUGUCUUCCAUAAUUUCUUACCCUUACCAUAAAAUAGGAAGAGCAGGAUAAAUUAGGCAAAAUAUGCACCUGCAUGUACAUUUACUUGAUUGUAAUAAUAUAUAGCAGCUUGCUAAAUCCAGCUUUUCUAGGUACAGAAUGUGCAAUAUGCCUUCAGGCAGACGCUGAUUCUGUAAGGUAAUGUUUGGUUGGUUUUUACUGUUAAGAACAAUGUUCAGAGUUCACAAAACCUCCCUGUCAUAUCCAUCAGUAUCCCAGAUAAUCCUUUCCUUGUAAGAAUGUUGGGUUGCUCUUCUUCCAAUACUCACUGCUGUCAAGGUAGAUUUGGUAGUGAGUGUGGGGUCUGUGCCAUGCUUCUUGCCACAACUGGAUUUGAGAGCUUUCCUAACUUCUUUGCAUAGGAUGACACAGAGGAGGAAGAUUAAAGGACCCUGUUAAAGAAACAGAGGAGAUCAUUAGCCUUGAAUGAUGACCUCAAACUGUAUCCAAGACACCAUCAACAGCAUGAAGGGAAGUUUAUAGUCUAAUUUAAAGAUUCUUUUUUCCACCUCCCAUCCCAUGUGGUGCUGCUGUUUUCUUAUAAACCAUUUGCUCCCAUUCCCAAGCAAAUAAAGUUUUUCUUUAAAAAUAAACACGCAAGCAUGCAUUAUCUAAAAACAGCAGUAGUUCUGCAUAAUUUUUUCAGGCUGCAUCAGGCAGAUGUGACUAAAUCAGUUCAGAGGUAACCAAUUUCUACAGUUAGAAUAAUUGCUUUUUUUAUAAACAUUUUGGGAUUGUGAUACUUGAAGGAAUGCCUCACCCUGUACUUACCUGCCUGAGCAAUGAGAUCUGCCCCCCCCCCAAACGCACACACAAAGCAAUACAUUAUGCAGGAGAGGGCCUCCUCUGCUGUGGCACCACAGGUAUGAAGUGCCCUUCUCUUAGAGGCCCAAUUGCUGCCAAUGUUGCUUAUUUCAAGGUCAAAUUAAAGUCAAAUUCACCUAACUUUUUUGGGCCCAGUAACUAUGACUUAGCCCUAGCUUGCUCAAUUGCAACAUCUAUCCCCUGUAUGUUUAAUUCUGUUUUAAGUAAGUAUUAUUUUUUGAAAUCAUUUGAAUUGUUUAUAAUUGGUGUAAAGUUGUUGUUAUUGACUUUACUCUAUGCUGAUAUCUCUGGAAAAGGAACCUUAGAUUUUACCUGUGAGAUGUUCAUUUCCAAUAGAUAAGGAUCGAACAUCCUGGAAUUUGGGUUGCUCCUCCCAUAUCACUCCUAGUAGACAGAACAAAGAUCAAAGAAGAUCAUCCCUCCUCCCUGUAGACAUAUGAGGGAGCAACCCCUGUGCUAUUCAGUCACUUGGACAACUCACCAGGAUAAAUAUCCAGAAGAAGAAGAAAAAAUCAAACAGAAUAACCAACUACACCAAAAAUGACAAAACAGUGAGAGAAAAAAGGGAUGAACCUGGGUAGGGCACCACCAUGGAGUGUAGAAGCCUGGGUCUCUGGUGUCUGGACCAACCUGUGAACCCCAGAAUCCAGAUAAGUCUUGGUCUGUCCUGCAAGCACUUACAGGUGGGUAAACUGUUCAAUUCUUUUCUACAAGAAAUGAACAUCACAGGUAACAUUUAACAGUCCUUUUCCCUGUAGAUAAGGAUGGAACAUCCUGGAAUAUGGGACUUGCCAAAGUUACACUAACAAGGGAGUGUGUGCUGGUGGGAAAAGCACUCUUUACGAUAGGAAUACCUGCUGUAGGACUCUCCUUCCAAAUGCAGCCACUGUUGAUUCAAAAGCAUCCAACCUGUAAAGCCUGGCACAAAUUGGAGGAGACUUAGAGGUGGCUGCCCUGCAAAUCUUCAUCAACAAAGUACUGGUCACUCAUGCUGCUGUGGCUGCUACUCUCCCGGUGGAAUGGACUACAAUACCAACAGGGAUUGGGGCAUUCAUAACCUCGUAACAUGCUACAAUGCAGGACUUUAUUCAUCUGUUCAGAUUGAACGAGGAGACCUUCAUUCCCAUGAAGUUUGGUUGGAAGGAGAUAAACAAUGCCUCAGAGGACUGGAAGCCUUUGGUUCUCUUUAGGUAAAUCCUGAUGGCUUUCUGCACAUCGAGAGUGUGCCUAAUCCUUUCAAGUUCAUUGUUCAGGCAGGGACAAAAAGAAAGGAGACUUGUGGAAUGUCGAGCUGACCUUGGAGAUGAAGGUUGGGUCCAGGUAUAGUACUAUCAAGACCAUCCUGAUCAUGCAAAGGUCCUUCUGGACCAAUAAUGUCCCCAACUCCGAGACUCUGCGAGCCAAGGUGAUGGUUGUGAGCAGUAACACCUGGCAGGUGAGAUGUUUCAGGAAUGCCUCCCACAGAGACUCAAAGGGGCCUACCGUCAAUGCUUUGGGUAGUGUGUGUAGGUCCCAAGAAGAGAAAUGGUGAACCAUUGGCAGGGAUAGGUUGGUUAGCCUUUUCAUGAAGACUUGGACAUCUGGGUGGGAUGUCACAUUUGCUGCCUACUUGUGGGGCUGUAUGGAGGGAAUAGCCAUGACCUAUCUUUUAAUGCUGUUUGGCCUGAGGCCAUGAUUGAUCCCAUCCUGCAGGAAUUCCAGCAGCUUUGCAACUGAGAAAUGUCUGCAGUUCAGUUGUUUCCAUUUGCACCAAUGGCAAAAAAAUCUGAAGAUGCAUUCAUAUAUCCUGACUAUGGAGGGCCUCCUGGCUCCCCAUAUGGUGUUUGUAAUCUUGAUGGAGUAUCCUUUGGCACUGAGAAGAAAAGAGAAUAUUUCAAAAGAGCUACACAAUUAGUAUGUCCUCUAAGAAUAGUAGGCAGGAAAAAAAACUGAAUGGCAAGUGGGUUGCUCCUUCACAUGUCUAUUAGGGAAGGACCCUCUUUGAUCUUUGUUCUGCCUACUUGGAGUGAUAGAGGAGGAGCAAGAUGAGUUCCAGGAUGUCUCACCCUUAUCUACUGGGAAAUAGGAGAGAAAUGUUUUAAUAAUCAAUUAGUUCUGCCUUCAUCGAUUAGGCAUUUACUUGAUGGAAAAUAUGCAAUUAUUGUGAAGAAAAGAUGGCUCUUCAGGAGUGGAGUCCAAUUUCUGAUAUUAUCUGAAAAACAAUGUGUUCAGCAAUCCAUAGUCCUUUUUAUGAUCAAAAACUUGUCUUUGUGGGAAAGGAAAGGAAAACUGAAAAAUGAAUGCAGAUUGCAAUCCUGUGCAUAUGUACCUGGGAAUAAGUCCUGUUGAAUCUAAUGGGACUUACUUCCAAAUGGACAUAAACAUGUUUGCACUGUUAUAGAAAGGUAUUUGGCAAUGCUAUCAACUGACAGUUUUGUGCCUUUGCGUGUAAAAGAGAAGAGGAAAGGAAUCUCACUGUACACUGGACAACAUGACUAAUAUCUGAAGACUUCCCAUCAGCUCUGUUUCCCAUGCUUAGCAUCUCCCUUGUGCCCACUGUACCUGGAGACAGUUGAAGCCAGCAAAGAGGUAGUGGAAGAGGAUGGCAUCACUGUUGACGGACAGUAGGGCCAGCAACCAGGUGAUACUGAUCAGCAGCAGGGAGACAAAGCCUGAGCGGAGGCCAGAACUACAAUUGAGAAGAGCACAGUCAGUGAAUUCUUACCCACAUAGCACCUCCAAAGCCGUUUUUCUUAAACUAGGCCUGGGUUCCAUAUCUUGGCCUAAGCCAGGCUCUGGUCCCACAGCAUUUCUUCCAUUUGGUUCCCAGGUGUGAAAAUCUGUGGGGCAGCCCUGGUUUUGUCUUUUUACUCAGGUUUUGGCUUUGGCAAAGAGAUCUCACCAUGCCCACAAGAAUGGUUGUAAAACAUCAAGCACUGGGAUGAAUCAGCAUUGUGUGUGCCAGUGAACUGCAGAUCAUGAAAGGAAAAGUGAGCAGAUCUAGCACCAUAAAAGAAGGAAUGUCAGCUAAAGGCUUGGACUUAUAACUCUGGGGAGGAUGUGCAAACAGCUUCAGUUGGUGGCCUCCUGUCUGCAGAAUUCUGUUUCAACGUACAUCCACCAAGUUCAAGCAAGACCUAAAGACAUUUUCAUCUUGCUUUAUAAUGAUAUAGCUAAUUCAUUAGGUGUUCUUGUGUAGAUGGUUAUGAUUGCCAAACUUUAUAUUUUAUCCUUGUUAGUAUGUUACCAAUGUUUUCCCUUUUCAUUUUGUACAUCAAUAUGAAAGGAUGUUCCCUAAAAGGCAGCCUAUCAAUCUUUGAAAUAAAUGAAUAAAUAACAUUUACAACAGGAGGAAACUGGGUGAUGAACACAAUGAUGGGGAUAGUCAGGGAGUGGGAAAGUGCAUAGGAGCAGGAGAAAUAGUAGACCAAGAUCUGGAACCAAGUGGCAGGAUAGUUCAGGUAGCAGAGAUGAGCUGUUGGGUGCACACAGUGAGCCAUAAAUAGAGUAGAACAUGAGCAAUACCAGACUCA